UCAGCCAGGCGGCGUCGUGGAGGGGGAGCUCAGGUAGCAGGGAGAUCGAUAACGUGACAGUAUCCCUGGCGACCGUCUAUUAUCCAUCGUUAACCUACAGGGAGAUUAUCCAGUCUAAACCCAACUUUGAAAUGUGGUUCAGCAGCAUCGGCGGGCACAUCGGUAUCUGUCUGGGGGCUUCUGUCAUCUCAGCCAUUGAAAUCCUUUGCUUCGUCAUCACCGUCUUGUUCUUGGUGUUCAAGAAAGUUCUCAAGAUGCUCUGGUCUUGUUAAUUUUUUUUCCAUAAGGAGGAAGGUUUUUGUGUCGUUUUUUGAAAUGCGUGAUCGUUUUUUUU
Molecule: long non-coding RNA, 334 nt
Organism: Penaeus monodon (black tiger shrimp)
Lineage: Eukaryota; Metazoa; Arthropoda; Malacostraca; Decapoda; Penaeidae
Exons: 3
Source: RefSeq, a predicted model, not a curated record